This 501-nucleotide ribosomal RNA is filed under the name uncultured bacterium. RNAcentral's name for it is "partial 16S ribosomal RNA". It matches the Rfam family "Bacterial small subunit ribosomal RNA", at positions 29 to 523 of the family's 1533-position model. The record is from RNAcentral.
AUUGAACGCUGGCGGCAUGCCUUACACAUGCAAGUCGAACGGCAGCACGGGUGCCUGCACCUGGUGGCGAGUGGCGAACGGGUGAGUAAUACAUCGGAACGUACCUUAUCGUGGGGGAUAACGCAGCGAAAGCUGUGCUAAUACCGCAUACGCCCUGAGGGGGAAAGCGGGGGAUCGAAAGACCUCGCGCGAUUAGAGCGGCCGAUGCCUGAUUAGCUUGUUGGCGGGGUAAAAGCCCACCAAGGCGACGAUCAGUAGCUGGUCUGAGAGGACGAUCAGCCACACUGGGACUGAGACACGGCCCAGACUCCUACGGGAGGCAGCAGUGGGGAAUUUUGGACAAUGGGGGCAACCCUGAUCCAGCAAUGCCGCGUGAGUGAAGAAGGCCUUCGGGUUGUAAAGCUCUUUUGUCAGGGAAGAAACACCGGCUCUAACACAGUCCGGGAAUGACGGUACCUGAAGAAUAAGCACCGGCUAACUACGUGCCAGCCGCCGCAGUAA